UACGUAGGGUGCAAGCGUUAAUCGGAAUUACUGGGCGUAAAGCGUGCGCAGGCGGUUGUGUAAGACAGAUGUGAAAUCCCCGGGCUUAACCUGGGAAUGGCAUUUGGGACUGCAAGGCUGGAGUGUGGCAGAGGAGACUGGAAUUCCUGGUGUAGCAGUGAAAUGCGUAGAUAUCAGGAGGAAUACCGAUGGCGAAGGCAGGUCUCUGGGCUGACACUGACGCUCAUGCACGAAAGCGUGGGGAGCAAACAGG
RNAcentral lists this ribosomal RNA (253 nucleotides) under uncultured bacterium. RNAcentral's name for it is "partial 16S ribosomal RNA". It matches the Rfam family "Bacterial small subunit ribosomal RNA", at positions 524 to 776 of the family's 1533-position model. The record is from RNAcentral.